Long non-coding RNA from Sciurus carolinensis (gray squirrel), 2032 nucleotides. RefSeq lists it as uncharacterized. The record is from RefSeq and is a predicted model, not a curated record. The transcript is spliced from 3 exons. Lineage: Eukaryota; Metazoa; Chordata; Mammalia; Rodentia; Sciuridae.
ACACCCCCGGGCUCUGCGGCUGGACAGCACGAAGCCUCAUCCGGUCCUAAGGCAGGAAGCUAGGCCGAUGCUCCACUUGAGACGCUACCACCUGCCUGCUCCCAGGGACGCAGUGUGACCUUCAUUCCCAGAGAGCCCACGGUGCCAGCAGCUGUGAGACGGCCCAGCCCUGCAGGAGGCUGGCGCACCCCAGAAAGACCACGGCAAAGGGCUUGGCUCACAGCUUCAUGCACGUGGAAAAUGAGGCUCAGAGAGGGCGGCGAGUCUCUUGGUGUUGCCCAGCAGAAUUCAAAACCCUACACAGAGCUCGUACCUAAGUCCCAGCUCCGAACCAAGGACGAGUCCCAGAAGCCACGCUGCCCCGCUGCCAUCCUGGAGGCGCUAGGAACACAGUGACGUCAAAGGAUGCCCCAGGUCUGUGUGUGCUCGCCCUCUCCCGCAGUCACAGAACGAGCACAGGAGAGCCCCUCCUGCCCACGUGUCCUGGCGCAGGCCGGACGGGGAGCCGGGCGAGGACAGAGGGGCUGUCCCCAGAGGACGUGGGUACGCAGCCACACAGGGACGUGGUCAAGGGUCCCUGGGGUGGGCAGGAGGCCAGGCUUCUGGCGGAAGGCCAGGUGUCCUCUGCUCAUCCUCGGCUGUCUGGGGCGGGGCCAGCAUCGCUGCCCGAGCCCCCUCCUCCUGUCCCAGCAGUCGCCCUCUGCACCGAGAGCCGUCCCUGAGGAACACGCCUCGAGCAGCCGUGGUCUGAUGGAAACUCGUCAGCACCCCGCUCUCCGCCUCUCCUCCAGCUCCCCUCUUCCUGGAGGAGAGGCCUCUUCCGAGCUCUGUGCCGCGAGGUAGAUUUGAGAGACGUUGGCGGGGCGCGAACGUGUGCCUGCACGUGCGGGAGGCUGCGGGGCCUCAAGGUGGGCCUGGGAAGGCAGGGAGGCUGGAGCGUGAGCCCCGUGCACGGGCUCCUGCGGGCUCCGUCCACCUCCCGCCCCUGGGCCUGGGCAGCCUCAGCGCACUCGGGGGUCCCCGUGGGCACGUGGACUGAAUGGCGGGGAGCCGCCCUUCUCGGGCCUUGCUAGGUGCGCGUCACGGUGGAAACUUUCCCAGAGCGGGGUGUGCGGCGCACCUCGGGGGGGCCCCCUGCCUGCACCUGCCAAAGCCACAUCCAGGAAGAAGCUCGGAGCCACAGGCACCCUGGGAGGCUGCGGAGGCUCCAUCCACCCCAGAACCCGUGUCCUCACAGCCCCUGACACCUGUCCUGCUUCUGGGUUCUGCCUGCGGUGCCCAAGGACAUGGCUGAAUGUGCUGCAGCUGAAGUCCUCUGCUGCACCAGACCUUGACCAGGGGAGCCCAGGGGGACUGGAGCCCGCUCCUGCCCAAGACCUGAGCCCUGGAACUGUGGGGCGGCACCAGCUCGUGUGCAGAAGACAGAAGGGGUGGUGUGGACGGGAAGGACGAGAUGCGUGGCUCAGGAGUGAAGCCCUGUGUGACCCUGGAGGACGGGUCGUGGACCUGGGUGAGCCCAAGCCUGGCUCCUGCAGGCCUGGCUCUUCCCAGCUCCACAAAACACAAACACCAAGACCAAACCCCGAACACCGAAUUCCACGCUCCCCGUCAGUCCAUCUGUCCCAAGUCUUUCUCCAGGUCUCCCGCUGCGAGAGAUCCCGUCGUGCUUUCUCUUGUUGAGCUGACUUCCGGCGUGGGAGCAGGACCUCAUCUUUCACAGUGUCACCUCCAGAUCUGCUCCCACAGCUGCCCUCCCAGCUUUUCCCAGCGUGUCCACCUCUGUUCCCCUUCAGUAUGUAGACAUCCGUCCGACCUUGACCGUCGGUGGGCCUUGGUGAUGGCGACGGUGACGAAGAUGGUGAUGAAGACGGUGUUAGCCACAGUGACCGCCAGAGAUGCCCACGUCUUCAUCGCUGCAGUCUGAAGUUAGGUGACUGGCCCAGAAAGGGGAAAUCUGUGGCUAAGCUCAGGAGCUCGGGAUGGGAGGAUGACACUAGAUUAUCCAGGCCACGCAACUCAUCCCGCCCAUCCU